UGCGCCUGCGGCAGGUGAAGCGCCGACCCGUUAUUUGAAGGCCUUGCAGGCGGCCGGACGGCGUUCAGCCCCGUAUCAUAAGCAACUGCUUAUUUCAAAGCUUUUU
RNAcentral lists this small RNA (106 nucleotides) under bovine gut metagenome. Its description in RNAcentral is "RT-5 RNA". It matches the Rfam family "RT-5 RNA". Rfam says of the family: Clostridium (Firmicutes). Environment (Cow rumen (57)) The record is from RNAcentral.